AACGAGCGCUGGCGGCAUGCCUAACACAUGCAAGUCGAACGAGACCUUCGGGUCUAGUGGCGCACGGGUGCGUAACGCGUGGGAACCUGCCCUUAGGUUCGGACUAACUCCCCGAAAGGGGUGCUAAUACCGGAUAAUGUCUUCGGACCAAAGAUUUAUCGCCUUUGGAUGGGCCCGCGUUGGAUUAGCUAGUUGGUAGGGUAAAAGCCUACCAAGGCGACGAUCCAUAGCUGGUCUGAGAGGAUGAUCAGCCACACUGGGACUGAGACACGGCCCAGACUCCUACGGGAGGCAGCAGUGGGGAAUAUUGGACAAUGGGCGAAAGCCUGAUCCAGCAAUGCCGCGUGAGUGAUGAAGGCCUUAGGGUUGUAAAGCUCUUUUACCCGGGAUGAUAAUGACAGUACCGGGAGAAUAAGCUCCGGCUAACUCCGUG
RNAcentral lists this ribosomal RNA (433 nucleotides) under uncultured bacterium. RNAcentral's name for it is "partial 16S ribosomal RNA". It matches the Rfam family "Bacterial small subunit ribosomal RNA", at positions 29 to 507 of the family's 1533-position model. The record is from RNAcentral.